This 89-nucleotide microRNA precursor is filed under the name Notamacropus eugenii (tammar wallaby). RNAcentral describes it as "miRNA (ENSMEUG00000016826.1)". The record is from RNAcentral. Lineage: Eukaryota; Metazoa; Chordata; Mammalia; Diprotodontia; Macropodidae.
AUAUACAUUAUAUAUGUGUAUAAAUGUAUACACAUAUAUUAUGUAUACACAUUCAUAUGUGUAUACAUAGAUAAACAUAUGUGUUUAUA